AUUUAACGGCCGCGGUACCCUAACCGUGCGAAGGUAGCAUAAUCACUUGUUCUUUAAAUGAGGACUCGUAUCAACGGCAUCACGAGGAUCCUACUGUCUCCCCCCUCUAAUCGGUGAAACUGAUCUCUCCGUGAAGAAGCGGAGAUGUACAUAUAAGACGAGAAGACCCCAUGGAGCUUUAAACCCAACAACACCCGCCCCCCUCCAAAUCCUAUUAUGUGCCCGGUGACUGUUUGUUCGGUUUUAGGUUGGGGUGACCGCGGAGUAUAAGAUAUCCUCCAUGAAAAAAGCUAACUGCCCUUAUUAGAGAAAGACACUUCCAAAAAAUAAUAAAUUAAUUUUAAAUGAUCCGACAUUCGAUCAACGAACCAAGUUACCCUGGGGAUAACAGCGCAAUCCGUCCCGAGAGCCCCUAUCGACAGGCGGGUUUACGACCUCGAUGUUGGAUCAGGGUAUCCUAGUGGUGCAGCAGCUACUAAAGGUUCGUUUGUUCAACGAUUAAAACCCU
Molecule: ribosomal RNA, 508 nt
Filed under: Boophis madagascariensis (Madagascar bright-eyed frog)
Lineage: Eukaryota; Metazoa; Chordata; Amphibia; Anura; Mantellidae
Description: partial 16S ribosomal RNA
Rfam family: Bacterial large subunit ribosomal RNA
Source: RNAcentral